UGGGGAAUCUUGCGCAAUGGGCGGAAGCCUGACGCAGCAACGCCACGUGAGCGAAGACGGCCUUCGGGUUGUAAAGCUCUGUCAGGAGGGACGAAGCCACUCGGGUGAAUAGCCCAGAGGGUGACGGUACCUCCAGAGGAAGCCCCGGCUAACUACGUGCCAGCAGCCGCGGUAAUACGUAGGGGGCGAGCGUUGUCCGGAAUCAUUGGGCGUAAAGCGCGUGUAGGCGGCUUGCCAAGUCCGGUGUGAAAUCUCGGGGCUCAACCCCGAAACUGCAUUGGAAACUGGCUUGCUAGAGUCCGGAAGAGGAGAGUGGAAUUCCUGGUGUAGCGGUGAAAUGCGCAGAUAUCAGGAAGAACACCGGUGGCGAAGGCGGCUCUCUGGGACGGUACUGACGCUGAGACGCGAAAGCGUGGGUAGCGAACAG
RNAcentral lists this ribosomal RNA (427 nucleotides) under uncultured bacterium. RNAcentral describes it as "bacterial SSU rRNA". It matches the Rfam family "Bacterial small subunit ribosomal RNA", at positions 355 to 775 of the family's 1533-position model. The record is from RNAcentral.